This 462-nucleotide ribosomal RNA is filed under the name uncultured bacterium. RNAcentral's name for it is "partial 16S ribosomal RNA". It matches the Rfam family "Bacterial small subunit ribosomal RNA", at positions 28 to 507 of the family's 1533-position model. The record is from RNAcentral.
GACGAACGCUGGCGGCGUGCUUAACACAUGCAAGUCGAACGGGGAAGCCCUUCGGGGUGGCUCAGUGGCGAACGGGUGAGUAACACGUGAGCAACCUGCCCCUGGCUCUGGGACAACCACUGGAAACGGUGGCUAAUACCGGAUACGACCCGCCUCGGCAUCGAGUGUGGGUGGAAAGUUUUUCGGCUGGGGAUGGGCUCGCGGCCUAUCAGCUUGUUGGUGAGGUGAAGGCUCACCAAGGCGACGACCGGUAGCCGGCCUGAGAGGGCGACCGGCCACACUGGGACUGAGACACGGCCCAGACUCCUACGGGAGGCAGCAGUGGGGAAUAUUGCACAAUGGGCGAAAGCCUGAUGCAGCGACGCCGCGUGAGGGAUGACGGCCUUCGGGUUGUAAACCUCUUUCAGCUCCGAAGAAGCGAAAGUGACGGUAGGAGCAGAAGAAGCACCGGCUAACUACGUG